UACGUAGGGUGCGAGCGUUGUCCGGAAUUACUGGGCGUAAAGAGCUCGUAGGCGGUUUGUCGCGUCUGCUGUGAAAACCUAAGGCUCAACCUUGGGCUUGCAGUGGGUACGGGCAGACUAGAGUGCGGUAGGGGUGACUGGAAUUCCUGGUGUAGCGGUGGAAUGCGCAGAUAUUAGGAGGAACACCGAUGGCGAAGGCAGGUCACUGGGCCGCAACGUGACGCUGAGGAGCGAAAGCAUGGGGAGCGAACAGG
RNAcentral lists this ribosomal RNA (254 nucleotides) under uncultured bacterium. RNAcentral's name for it is "partial 16S ribosomal RNA". It matches the Rfam family "Bacterial small subunit ribosomal RNA", at positions 524 to 776 of the family's 1533-position model. The record is from RNAcentral.